RNAcentral lists this long non-coding RNA (260 nucleotides) under Capsicum annuum. RNAcentral's name for it is "long non-coding RNA (CANN_LNC017402)". Lineage: Eukaryota; Viridiplantae; Streptophyta; Magnoliopsida; Solanales; Solanaceae. The record is from RNAcentral.
UUUGUUGAAGUUCUGAUGUGAUGAUUAUAUGCGUAAUGUGAUUGAUAAAAAGGAAAGUUAGCAGGGCGGGAUCGAGAAAUUGAUAAAAAGAAUGAUUUUAGAUUAAUGUUAGUUCGUCGGUUGUUCUGUUUAGUCCGGAAUAAAAUUUUAAAUUUGUGAACAUGAUUGGAUCGUGUUUAGGUUGAAAUGGAUAGGCAAUAUAGGUUCGGGUAGGCAAGAAUUUAAGAUUGAUGUUUUUGUUUGGAUGUUGGAAUGUGCGU